GACGAACGCUGGCGGCGUGCUUAACACAUGCAAGUCGAACGGAAAGGCCCCUUUGGGGGUACUCGAGUGGCGAACGGGUGAGUAACACGUGAGUAACCUGCCCUUGACUUCGGGAUAACUUCAGGAAACUGGGGCUAAUACCGGAUAGGAAUCCUUGCUGCAUGGUGGGGGUUGGAAAGCUUCGGCGGUUUUGGAUGGACUCGCGGCUUAUCAGCUUGUUGGUGGGGUAGUGGCUUACCAAGGCUUUGACGGGUAGCCGGCCUGAGAGGGCGACCGGCCACAUUGGGACUGAGAUACGGCCCAGACUCCUACGGGAGGCAGAAGUGGGGAAUAUUGCACAAUGGGCGGAAGCCUGAUGCAGCAAGGCCGCGUGCGGGAUGACGGCCUUCGGGUUGAAAACCGCUUUCAGCAGGGGCGAAGCUUGUGGUGACGGUACCUGCAGAAGAAGCACCGGCUAACUACGUG
RNAcentral lists this ribosomal RNA (465 nucleotides) under uncultured bacterium. RNAcentral describes it as "partial 16S ribosomal RNA". It matches the Rfam family "Bacterial small subunit ribosomal RNA", at positions 28 to 507 of the family's 1533-position model. The record is from RNAcentral.